UUUUAGCCCCGAUAGAAGCGGCAUCCUUUAUGUUUUUUCUUUAAAAACAUAAAGAUACAGCGGAUAGCGGGCAUAGCU
Molecule: small RNA, 78 nt
Filed under: Flavobacterium granuli
Lineage: Bacteria; Pseudomonadati; Bacteroidota; Flavobacteriia; Flavobacteriales; Flavobacteriaceae
Description: Flavo-1 RNA
Rfam family: Flavo-1 RNA
Source: RNAcentral